GUUCAAUUGUGCAAUUCGUCGUCGAAAGGAUACAACUGCAACUUAUCAGUCCUCAGAAAGAGGUGUGUGUGCUUGCAUAUCAUCUAUGGCAGUUAGUAUUAAAUUUUUCAAUCAUUCCUUCCAUGACAACUCAUAUUUUCUAAGAACGUUUACUGUACAAUUUACCGAUAUCAGCAAUUUCAAAUAUUACAACAACAUCUAUUCC
Molecule: long non-coding RNA, 205 nt
Filed under: Mytilus galloprovincialis (Mediterranean mussel)
Lineage: Eukaryota; Metazoa; Mollusca; Bivalvia; Mytilida; Mytilidae
Source: RNAcentral